AGUGAACGCUGGCGGUAGGCCUAACACAUGCAAGUCGAACGGCAGCACAGGAGAGCUUGCUCUCUGGGUGGCGAGUGGCGGACGGGUGAGGAAUACAUCGGAAUCUACUUUUUCGUGGGGGAUAACGUAGGGAAACUUACGCUAAUACCGCAUACGACCUACGGGUGAAAGCAGGGGAUCUUCGGACCUUGCGCGAUUGAAUGAGCCGAUGUCGGAUUAGUUAGUUGGCGGGGUAAAGGCCCACCAAGGCGAAGAUCCGUAGCUGGUCUGAGAGGAUGAGCAGCCACACUGGAACUGAGACACGGUCCAGGCUCCUACGGGAGGCAGCAGUGGGGAAUAUUGGACAAUGGGCGCAAGCCUGAUCCAGCCAUACCGCGUGGGUGAAGAAGGCCUUCGGGUUGUAAAGCCCUUUUGUUGGGAAAGAAAUCCAGCUGGUUAAUACCCGGUUGGGAUGACGGUACCCAAAGAAUAAGCACCGGCUAACUUCGUGCCAGCAGCCGCAGUAA
This 506-nucleotide ribosomal RNA is filed under the name uncultured bacterium. Its description in RNAcentral is "partial 16S ribosomal RNA". It matches the Rfam family "Bacterial small subunit ribosomal RNA", at positions 29 to 523 of the family's 1533-position model. The record is from RNAcentral.